UAAGCGGGCUUCCCCCUUUCUUCCCAGGGAUAUGCCUUAUAUCGCUCGUUAUGUCGUUGGAGUGCUCGUGGUGCUGUUAGGUGAUGAUAGCUAGAUGCUAUUUUUUUCCGUUCUAAAUGUCGGUCGUGUUGCCUUGACAGACUUAUUUUUUCGUUAUGUGGACCUGUGGUUGUCGUGUAUGCUCAUGUCGUGAUGAGCGUUUGGUGUAAGGUUUGACUGUGACUGCUUGGUGUGUUAUUCAGUAGUGUUGCUAGACUGCAAAAUCUCUGUUUCGUGUCCAGUAUUUUUGGGCCAAGUUGCCAAAUAUGCUUCUGUCAUCUUGGGAUCUUGGAAUGCGGUUCAACUGGAGUUCAUAGUGCUUUGGUUGAAUGAUCUUCCAACCUAUGGGCAACGAUCUUCAUUCGAUCUUGGAAUGAACUUGCCUGUAGGCUGACAGUUGGUUCAUGUAGUGCUAUUAUAUACUCCCUCUGUUCCUAAAUAUAAAUCUUUUUAGAGAUUCUAAUGUGGACUAAGCAAAAUGAAUGAAUCUAUACUCUAAAAUAUGUCUAUAUACAUAUGUGUGCAGUCCUCAUUGAAAUCUCUGAAAAGACCUAUAUUCAGUAACGGAGGGAGUACAUAGAUUCUGUUAUAAUUUCUUAAUAUCAUGUUGCCUUAAGGCUUUCUUAAGGUUAUUAAUAGGCUCUGUUUCUUAUACUACGAAGUUCCUGCUAUUUUGGAUUGGCAAAUCUGAUUCACAAUGUAGUUUUGGUCUUCUAGGAAAGUGGCAUCUGUUUUGCUUUAUGCAUUUGGAAAAUCUCUAAACUGCAAGGGCAUUUCAAAAGCAGAACUGGUGCGUGGCAUAGAAGAUCAAACAGAGCCUUCUUAUAAUGUGCUGUGUUUGGUCGAACUUUGGUACUAACACAACUAAGAUCAGAUUACAGGAGAGAAUGAAAAAAAAAAAUGCCAGCUUUGUUUUGUUCAAGUGUGCAUCGGAAACGUAUCCCUUCAUGGCGCUUGGUCGAGGAAGUUGCAUAACUGUUCAAGAACAGGAAAUUUUGUACCACAACCAUGGUGACUCAUGGUGCCAGGAAAACAGCAAAACACACUGAUCCAACACAGGCAAAACUGGAUACCAAAAUCUGGUGUAAUAAAACUGAAGUAAUCUUGGAUUGAAUGGAGAAGUUGGAUAUCCAGUACCACACAAUAUUUCACUCUUCGACGCAAAUGAAACUCAGUACAGAAAUCAGGUGUCAAUGUUUGCAACCUCAAGUUUGGAGCUCGAAGGCAUUGCGGCCAUCCGGGCAAUCAAUAUUUCCCUUAACAGCUUGCAUAGUAAAGCAGAAUGAUCAUAUUGAAGUGAUCUUGCCAGUUUCACCCCCUCAAAAGAAAUUAAGUUCUCAUUUCCAUACAUUGUUAAUGCUAAGUCCACAGAAUUAUUAUAGCUCAUAGAGACACUCUCGGAUCACGCAGACAGUUGUGUGAUACCACAUGAAUAUCUAACAUGAUGACAGUCUCAAGCAUUAGGGCACUACAAAAUCUCGGAAACUCGUAGGAGAGUGGCUUAUCCGAGGAAGUUCAUGAUCACCAGGUGGAGCACCAGAUUGCACAGGACAAAAUCUGCAAAGGCCCUUUCUGGAGGAAGAUCCUGCAGAUAAAUGUUUUGACGUACAACGUUAUGCUGGAAAUCCAAAGAACAAACUAUCGCAGCAGAUAAAACGCUAACAGUGAAUGUAGAGUUACCUUGAAUUCCUUGUUGUCCUUGUUGACUUGAAUACGGAGACACACUGCAAGAACACAGACAGUUUCAUAUCAUGCAGCCAAGGAAGGGUAACCAGGAUCGAGAGGGGGUUAAGAAAUUCUUACCAGCAAGAACUGCACUUCCUAUGCAUGACAGGACACCUGAGAGGAACGAGUUGAAGGGAAAUGACCCAACUACUCCCAUGUAAGCAACCUGGUUUGUCACAUAAGUAGCAAAUGGCUCAGCUUUUUGGUAACUAUGGGUGAACAGAAGACUUAUGGCUUAUAAAGAUAAUGCUAGUCAGCAAACGCACAUACUUAAAGGGAACUUGCACUGAUCCUAAUAAUCUUGCCAGGACACACUAUAUAACACACACCACCUAGAAAACAACGACUAACACUUCAUCUGUCAAUUCAAACAUCACAGGGCAUACAAAUGUUUAGCAAUCCAUGCCAUUUACACCUGCACAAAUUUGGGUGCCAGAUGACAGUACUAGGUACAGCAGAUUUUUGAAUGCUGAUACCCUGCUCCUAUUCAAAAUUGAGAAAUGUGGCAUAAUAGACAAACAUGGCAUUGCCUUUCCAAACCCUCAUGCUAUACUAGAACAAGAUAUUUCAUAAUGUGACAGCACUCUCUGCACUCAUGUAUUAUCGAAAAACGAAGUUGUUCAAGUAAGAUUUAACUUCUCCAUCCUAAAUCACAUAUCCUCAGUAAGAAGUUUAGCAUCGAAAAAUUACCUGAACAAGGGCAGUCGCCAUGGCGAAAACCACAUACAGGUCAAUGAUCUGCAGAAAUGUUAAGAAUAGGAUCAGCAAUCAGAUAGUCUGACUGUGGCCACAGGUUGACAGCAACACGAGAGAGAAUAGCAAUUGCCUUGAGAUUCGUGGGCGUGGCGGCGUAGGCCUUGUUCAGGGACUGGAACAGGAGCUUGGCAUCCCCCGCAUCCUUCGGCAUCCUCGCGAACCAGAGCACUUCAAGCCAACUAACCAGUAUGAAACAGAAAACAAGUCACAAUCAGAUCUUCCAGCACCGUGGCAAGACUAGAUCAAAACCUAGCAGCUGACAUGCACGCAUCGGAAAUUUUGUAUUUUUUGUCUUCAAAAUGACAAUGCACAUGUAAGCGUUACGGAUUUACACCGUUGUUGUGAACCGGAUGGGCAAGAAUCGAAAUGCGUACGGUUACUAUGGACUUGCAUGCCAAUUCAUGGACUCACCGAGCCAUCUAUCGGCAAAACGAAUUCAGAUGACCAAAGAGUUAACUGGCAAUCCGUAUAAUUCAGAUGUGGCUGCAGUUUUAUGUGCAGACUGACAAUAACUAGGAAGAAAAUCAAUUACAGCAAGAAAAACCGAGGGCGUGUUUGUUUGCAAUGCUUUUUACUAUUUUGUGGGGGUGUUUGGUUAAUAAAUUUCUACUUGGGAUUCUGAAGACAGUGGCAUGCAUCAACCAGAGAUCUCAAUCAGCAUUCAGAAUCCAAAAGGGCAUUCGUUACACGGACGGAGGUGGUGGGCGGGCAGAGAGGACAGGAGGGAUGGAUCCGCAGGAGAAGCGUCGCCCACCUCAAUCAGCGAAGGGGCCGGCUGGGCACUGGCUUGCGGCGGCACGAUAGCUGUUCGUGGACGCCGAAGGGGGAGAGAGAGAGAGAGAUCGGGGGCCACUAGCGCCGGCGCAGCUCCGUCUAGACGGAGAAGGAGAUUGCGGAGGAUGUGGGGCUCGGGCUGGGCUGCAAUCCGUCUGCGCAGUGGAGUGCGUUAGCGGGCUGAGCCCACCAAACAUUUUUUAGGGAAUUAGGUAAAAUAAUAAUCCCCUCCUAAGUACCGAUGUUUCGGAGUACAAGCUGAACAAAGUACCUUUGUGGGCGAGAGUCAAGGGGCUGCCGGAUGGACUGAGAGUCAAGGGGCUGCCGGAUGGACUGACAGCCAAGAGAGAGCUCGCGGAGAAAGUUGCUGCCAAGGUUGGAGAACCACCUUUUACGGUCAUUGUCGGGGGUUGGGUGCGACAUAUGCCAAAGGAUGGCUUAUCAUGGUGGGAGCGAGUAGAACGUCGCCGGUGCCUGGAAGCGGGAUGAGGCGUAGACACGUACGCUAGCGGACUUUACCCAGGUUCGGGGCUCUCCGUGGAGAUAACACCUCUAGUCCUGCUCUGCGGGGUCUCCGCAUGGUCACUAAGGCACUAGUGGUACAAUGGUGCUCCUUGAGCUGUUUGCUAGAGGUGGAAGAAGGCAGACACGCUCUUUCCUCCUCUAGGUGUGAAUCUAGUCCUAGCAGGUUCGAACCAUUUGCAUGGGCGCCCUAGGGGUUUAUAUAGGCCUACCCCCAGGGGUACAAUAGUAAUCCGGCCGGGUGUAGGACCCGGUUGUCAGUCUCUUUGGUCGCCGGCUUCUCCGCCGGCUACUGGGGAACGCCGCCUGGUGGGCCCCGCCGACUGGUCUGGUACGGAGCCGACAUGCCCCCCCACCGCUCGCGGGUCUUGUCGGCUGCUGAUCAUUGUAGCCGUGAUGCUAAUGACGUAGGCUUGGUCAGGAGAGCGUGGCCACAGUCCUGCCGCUUGGCGGGCGAUUGCUGUAGCCACUCUGCUUCUCGUCUGGUUAAUGGCGCGUGGGCCCCGAGGAAGGGGCGGGCCGACUGCUGGGGGCCGACCUCCCUCGGGUCCGGCUGGUGGGGCUCUAGCCGUCUUCCAGGCUCUCGUUGAUCGGUAGGGCCCGUCGUCCUUGGGCCGCACUGACAGGCGGUCGUGGGAGCAGGGCUUUGCCUGACAGGUGUGACGUCAGGGGCGGAGUGGCAACAGUGGCGCGCCGGGCGGGGAUCUUCGCCUGUACGGAGCACUGUGGCCUCGCCCGGCCCUGGAUACGGGGAUGAUGGGCUACACUGUAGCCUCACCCUGUCUUGUCUCCUUAAUGGGGGCGCAGACUUUGAGGGCAUCGUGGGCCGACUGCCAGGAAUCGGCCUCUCUGGAGGCCGCCUGCCAGGAGUCGGUCCGUCUCGGAGCCGUCUUCUUAAGCGCGGCCGUCUUCUAGCAGUCGGCCGUUCGGCCAGCCGGUCAUCAGAAGGCGGCGCUUCAUCUUGACGUCUUGAGGGGCGCAGCCGGCCCCGAUGCCUUGAAAGGUUCUGGGGCUCGGGUUAGGCUACCCGUGGCCCAUUACUCCGACAGUAGUCCCCGAAGCUGGUGAGGUGCCGCGGCCGAGGAGCCGAAGAGCCUCAACAGUUUGUUCCUCCGGGUACUCUGAAGGGAGCUUCGUCCGACUCCUGGGAAGCCGGUUGGCAGGAGUCGGGUGCGUCCAGUCGGAGCUUUCUGGAAUUUCGAACGCAUCGGCGGGAACCAGGUGGCGUGCUUGCUAAGCUUCUCGGCCCGCCGCCCGUCGGGAGCGUGCCACGUGGCGCCAGCCAGCUGGGUCGGCCUGCCAGCCCACGCGCGUGAUGGGACGCGACCGUAGGCCGGGCCCGCCACCACCGGGCCUCGGCCUACGAGCGGACCCGCUGCGGCCGAGGCGGGCGGUUGGGUUUCUCUGUGGAGUUACUGCGCGCAGUAACCCACGCGGUAAAGGCGGGAACGUGGGGUCGUGGGCACAAUUAAUCCCACGAUCCCACGCCCACCCCCUCGGCUUCAUAGCCCCUGGCUAUAAGUAGGGAAAGGAGAGGGAGCGGCAAAGCACGCGCCCCCCUCCACCCUUACUCUCCCUUCAUCUUCUUCCUCCUGCCGCAGCGCCCCGAGCCCCACCGAAGCGCCGCCGCAGUUCGUCUCCGUCAACCUCUCGUCCCAUGGCGCGCUCCGGAGCCUGGGACGGCUCCACAGUUCAUGAAGACCACAUCGACUUCCUCCGCCAGACGCGGCGGCUGCCCAGCAAGGACCAUGUGAAGGUUCGCCUCGUGCCGGAGGGGGAGAUCUCGCCGGCGCCGGAGGAGGGCGAGCGGGUAAUCUUCCGCUCGCACUGCCUGCGCGGCCUCGGCCUGCCGGCGAGCGGCUUCUUCCGGGCCUUCCUCGAAUUCUACCACCUCCAGCCGCACCACCCUCACCCCGAACACGGUGGUGCUGCUAUCCGCCUUUGUCACUCUGUGCGAAGGCUUCCUCGGCGUCCUCCCCACUAUCGAGCUUUGGGGGGAGUUUUUCUACACCAAGCUCGGCACCGUCGUCGCGGGCGUGCCGGCUUAAUGCGGCGCCUUCAUAGCGGUGCGGAGGCCGGGCGGCGACAAUCCAUUUCCUCCCAUCUCGCUGAUCGAGUCGGUGAAGAUGUGGCAGCAGUCAUACUUUUACGUGAAGAGCAUCUUCGCGGAGGGCGACUGGGUCAACCUAUCGGCUUACGCUGCCGGCCCGCCAGCCGGGAGGCGGCCCAACUGGCCGUACCGGGCAAAAACACUGUCGCCUUCCAGAGCCGCCGCCAUCGCGUGGCUCCGGACGCUGGUACAGUCGGAGGGCCUGACCGGGCCCGACUUGCUGUCCGCCUUCGUGGCGCGCCGGGUGCUCCCACUCCAGGGCCGCCCUCACAUGAUCUGUCAGAUGAGCGGGCAUCGGGACCCCAGCCGGCUGUGCACCAAGGAGAUGCCUCACGCCGAGGUAGCUCAUAUGGUGAACUACCUUGCGAACUGCAAGCUUACGGAAGAGUGGCGGUUCAGCAACGAGCCGUAUUCUCGCGCCAACAGCCCGCCUAUGGUAAAUUUCCUUUCCUUCUCUCUUUCUCCUUUUGCCGAGUUCCGUUUGUCUAGCCUGACCAACCAGCUCUUCGAACAGAGCUCCCUCCUCCAGCCGGCAGCCGGCGCCGCGGGGCCGGAGCGUCAAUUUCUCCCUGACCGGGCAGAGAGCGACGUGGAUGACCCCGACUUGGGGGCGGCGGCCUUGGAGGAUGACGCCGAGGGAGGAGGCGACGCAGCAGGCGGCUCAGGGCUCGGAGCCGGCCUCGAGGACUGGCCAGACGACGACGCGGGGGAAGUCGUCCCGCGUCGCCAGCCGGGGUCUGAUCAGCCGGGCGCGAGCUCGUCUGACGCGCCGGCAGCCCGAGGCGGCGCGAAAAAGCACAGGGCCGCGUCGAGCCUGUUCGGCAGUCGGCAAGCCCAAGGGCUCGGCCGUGGUGACCAAGCGGGAUGAAGCGGCUGCGAAAGCCAUCCGCUUCCGCAAGGCGGUGAAGGAGCCGCAGCUAGUUUCCGCGUAAGUACUAUCUUCCUCUCGUACUUUCUCCUUCCUUUUCUGGUCUUGUCUGAGUUUCUUUGCUUCGCCUCCCUUGAUCUAGGGCCCCGCUCUCUCUUGAGAAGUCGGCUGCCGCCUCCAUCGUGGGGUCGGCGGAGACUUCCACCACCACCCGGCGGGUCGAUCCGGCCGCCGACCUCCGGGAGGCGACGGAGCGAAACGUGCGGGAGGCGCGCGAGGAGCAGGAGGCCGCCCGCCUGGAGAGGGCGGAGGCGGACAGAGCGGAGGCCGCCGCAUUGAGGAAGCUGGCGGAGGCCGAGGCCGCCACUGCGGCGAAGAAGCAGGCCGAGGAAGCCGCACGCCGUCAGUCGGCGAUGUUUGUCGUCCCCCCUGAACUCUGCGCCGCCACCACCGGAGUUCGUGGCGCAGACCGAGGAAGCCGGCGGCGAGCACCCUAUCAUGGAGAGGGACGGCGGCGACACCGCCAUGCCGGACGUAAUCGUACCCCCGCCGCCACCUUCUGAGGAGGCGCGAGACAAGCAGCCGGUCGACCCGCCGGCGCCACCAGCCGGAAACGAGAUGGUGACAGGCCCGACUCCCGGGGUCUGCACACCCUCACGCCGCCGGCUCGCGAAGGCGGCCUCGACGCCGCGCCCGCUGGAGACCGGCGUUGCAAGCUCCUCGAUCCUGGACACCGAGGCGACCAGCGCCGCGCCCACUGGGUGGGUGCGGGGAGGCGGGACGGGCCCUCUGAACAAGGCGAUCCUGGACGUUCAAGCCAAGCUCCGCGCCGAGGCCGACGCUCUCAAGCACUGCAACAAGGCGUUCCUGGAAUCGCGAGAGGCCAUCCGGGUACGCUUCUUGCUUCUUUGUUUUUAAUUCUUGUGUUGCUCCGUGGGGGCACGCCAGCGCACCCACUGGGUGUAGUCCCCGAGUUUCGGGCCGGCUGCUGAGCAGGCGGAUCUGAACUUUAAUUUGGCAAGCUCCGAGUACUAAUAUCUUUGCUGCAGGAUUACCACAACCUCCGCGCGUCCGCCUUCAACUCCAAGGUCCAGGAGUCGGAUCAACGAGCCGUCGACUUGUCGGAGAGCCGGAGUAAGCCUUUUUCUUUCUCUGCGGGGGCGCGCUGGCGCACCCGCGAGCUGUAGUCCCCGAGAUUCGGGCCGACUGCUGAGCAGUCGGGCCGGAUCUCCCCGGCAACUGUUCUUCUUUUGGUUGACACUUGAUAGCUUCUUUCUCCGCGGGGGCGCGCUGGCGCACCCGCGGGCUGUAGUCCCCGAGAUUCGGGCCGGCUGUUGAGCAGUCGGGCCGGAUCUUCCUGGCAACUUCGUCUUUCUUUGUUGAUGUCCUUUUCCUCUUCUGCAGAGGCCAACACCACCCUGCAGCAGCAGCUGGGCGAGGCCAACACCGCGCUUCGUGCCAAGGAAAUGGAGUGCAGCAAACUGGCCGAAGAGCGUGACCGGCUGGUCACGCAACUGGCGGAGCAGGCGGAGCUUCUCAAGAAAGCCAGAAGGAGGCGGAGGACAAGGAGACCAGCCUCCUCGCCGAGUUCGCGACCGAACGCUCCGCCUGGACUGACAAGGAGGCGAUGCUGACUGCCGGCUUUGGCGCGAUCGAAGACAUAGUUGAUGGUGAGCUUCCCUCUUUUUCCUUCUUUGAGCUGCCGGCUGCUGACCGAGCCGGCCUCUCGCCUCUAACUCUGGCUCUUUGCUUUCUGUUUUGGCAGACUUCUUCCCUGGUCAUUCUGACGCCGCCAAUCAGGCCAUCGAAGCUGAUCGUGAAGGACGGAGGGCGGAAGGUGCGCAGAUUGCUGCCGACGCCCCCGGACCCUUAGCGAGCAGCUCCUGAGCAUCGAGGCCCGUCUUCGGCCGGCUCACCGGAUGCUGCGCCGUCUUCAGCGUGUCGGCGCCCAGGCGAUCGCUGCCCUGUGGCCGGACAUGCCGGCAUUGCGCACUCCCAGUCGGACUGCCGACUGGCUGGAGGUGGCGGCCGGCCGUCUUGAGGCGUGGAAGGGCUCCUCGGCCGGGCCGGAGCGCGCCGGGCCUUGGAGUUCGUCAAGGCGUGGUACCCUGGGCUAGACCUAGCCCAGUUGACCAUGUUUUGACUGGAAGCCCAGGAGGAGCUGGUGGCAGUGGAGGACGACCUUGUCAAGCGAGCGGCGGCAAUCGCCGAGUACACCAACACCAGCAUCUUCGUCCUGGAGCUGGCCGAGAACGGUGUUGAGGCGCCGCCGGAGUGGUUUGGGCUGAACCCGGAGGAUGGCGAGGACUCGGCCGAGGUGAUCGACUCCAGCGACGAGGGAGAAGAUGAAGAGGAGGAGGAAGGUGAAGAGGAGGCACCAGAGGUCGGAGCGGACGGCCAGCCUCAACUCGACCGCGCCUCCAGCAACGAGCCACGCCCGAGCGAGCCGGCUGCUGCUGAGGGCGACCAACUGGAGACCGACCAACCGGCCGCCCAACCAGCCGGCACCACCGACUCCACCAUUUGGCCGACUCCGUCUACUGCUUCCUAGGCUGCCAUUUACCUUUGCUUCUUCCUGCUUAUCGGUCUCAACGAACUUUGUUAUUUUCGCACAAUUCCACCCGCGGGGUGUAUUUCAAACUUAUGUUGAAUGUCGGCCAAGGGCCUUUUGACGUGUAAAUAUUUUAGCCGAGUUCUAUCUUUCCUUGCUUUCUGCUCUUUGGCUUUUUUCCUUUGCCGCCUUCCCUUGGUUGCCGUCUUGCUAGCCGAACAGCCGCUCUGCAGACUGUGGCUGGGUCAAGUACUUAGCCACUUUCGGGAAGGCAAGUACUUAGCCGGCUAGAGUUUUCUGGCAAGUUAAGUAGAAGCCGGCCGACCGGCUGCUCGGCAGCCGGUCGGUGAGGCGAGAAGCCGGCUUGGACUAUGUGUAUGCUUUAGGUCCUUAGCCAUUUUUCAUGCAGACACCCUUUUCGUCUCAGCUCCUGCCGACCGAACAGUCGCUCUGCGAGCUGCGGCCUCUGGCAGGAGAAGGCUAAGGUGCCAACACAUUACUUGUCCGGCUGCAGGAAGCAUUUCAUAGUACAAAGCGGCAAGUCCUCGGGUCGACUGGUCGAACCCGGUGCCGGACGGAUAAAUGAAAUAACUCAAAUGACAGGCAUAAUACUUAUCAUAUAGAUAAAAGAGGGCAGUCCCCGAGCUCUUCUCGGGGGACCUGGAGUCUUCGUACUUAAUACAAAAGUUGGCGUGGUACAUACUGUAUCAACUAUAAAACUUCGAAGGAGGUUUGCAUUCCAUGGUCGCUCUGUCUCCUUGCCAGAGUCGUCUCUUUUGCGUGCUCGAGGCAUCUGAGCGUCGAUGAGGUAGUAGGAGUCGUUGCCGAACACCUUGCUGAUGAUGAAGGGGCCUUCUCAAGGUGCCGAGAGCUUGUGCUGGCCGGCUGUUCGCUGGAUCAGCCGGAGCACGAGGUCUCCUUCUUGGAAGGAUCUUGGCUUGACCUUUUGAUUGUAGUAUCGGCACAGACUCUGCUGGUAGAUGGUGGACCGGCUGAGUGCCAACAGCCGGCCCUCUUCCAGCAGAUCGACGCUGUCUUGUUGUGCUUCUUCUGCCUCCUCUUCGGUGUACAUGGUGACUCGAGGGGAGUCGAAUUCUAUGUCCGUCGGGAUGACGGCUUCGGCACCGUAGACAAGGAAGAAGGGAGUGAAGCCGGUUGACUUGUUCGGGGUUGUGCGCAGACUCCAGAGGACGGCCGGCAGCUCGUCGAGCCAGCAGCCGACCGAACGCUCCAGAGGCUCGACCAGUCGGGGCUUGAUGCCGGACAAGAUGAGGCCGUUUGCACGCUCCACUUGGCCGUUUGACUGCGGGUGGGCAACGGAUGCUAUGUCCAGUCGGAUGCCCUGCGUCGCGCAGAAACGGGCCAAGGCGCCUUUGGCGAAGUUCGUGCCGUUGUCGGUGAUGAUGCUGUGUGGUAUGCCAUACCGGAUGGUGAUGUCGGAGAUGAAAGUCACAGCAGUCGGACCAUUCAAUUUCUUGAUUGAUUUUGCUUCUAUCCACUUGGUGAACUUGUCCACCGCGACAAGCAGAUGAGUCAUGCCACCUCGUGCUAUUUUGAAUGGUCCCACCAUGUCCAGGCCCCAGACAGCAAAGGGCCAGGCAAUGGGGAUAGUCUUGAGUGCAGAAGCCAACUGAUGUGGCUGCGAGCGGAACUUCUGGCACCCUUUGCAUUUCUGGACCAGAUCUUUGGCGUCUUCUAAAGUAGUCGGCCCGAAAAACCCAUGGCGGAAAGCUUUGGCCACGAGUGCUCUUGAAGCCACGUGCUGACCACACUCGCCUUGAUGGAUAUCUUUGAGGAUUGCUUGGCCUUGCUCCGGCUCCACGCAGCGCUGGUAGACGCCAGUGACACUGCGCCUUACAAGCUCUCUGUUGACUAUGGUGUAUGCUGCUGCCCGGCGUUGCACUUGCCGGGCCGAGAUCUCAUCGGUCGGCAGCUCUUUGUUCACCAGGAUGUUGAAGAUGGGCUUGGCCCAUGAAGGUGCUGCGAUUUCUUCGAUUGCUAAGACUGCUACUUGCACGAGGGCGGUUGGGCCGGGAGGCGGCGGGUUGGAGCCGGCUGUCGCUUGCUGGGUUGACGAAGUCCCCGGGCCGACUGCUGCAGUCCCCGGGUCGGGCUUUGAAGUCCCCGGACCGGGUUCGGCUGCUGCAGUUCCCGGGUCGCCUGCCGAAUUCCUCGUGCCGGCUGCUGGGGUCCUCAAGUCGGAUCCGACUGCUUCAGGAGGAGCGGCACAAAGAUGGAAUCCGAUUCUGGCGAUGGCUUGACAGACGGCUUGAGGAGGCGUUGUAGGGCGACGCCGGUUGGUAUUGCUUGCUAGGUGGAACCGAUUCGUGCCAAGGCAUCUGCUUGCUCAUUGUCACUCCUUGGCACAUGGAGAAACUCGCACCCUUCAAAGUAUCCACUGAGUUGCUGCACGAGGAAACGGUAACUCGCCAUAUUUGCAUCCUUGGCAUCCCGGUUGCCUGACGACUGUUGGACCACCAAGUCGGAAUCACCAUAGCACAGGAUCCGGCGAAUGCCGAGUUCCUUGGCAAGCCGAAGCCCAUUAAUGAGUGCUUCGUAUUCCGCGACGUUGUUGGAGGCGGCAAAGUGAAUUUGCAGCACAUAUCUUAGUUUGUCGCCUUUGGGAGAGGUGAGGACGACGCCGGCUCCCAAACCGGUGCGCAUCUUUUAACCAUCAAAAUGCAUUCGCCAAUGGGUGGAGUCUGGCGUAGGCGGCAGGUACUGGGUCUCGGCCCAAUCAACGAGGAAGUCGGCCAGUGCUUGUGACUUGAUGGCGGUGCGAGGCUGGUAGUAGAUGGUGUAGGGGGCCAAAUCUAUGGCCCGUUUGCACUCGGCCUGAAGCAUCUCGGCUUCCGAUGAUCUCGGCAAGCGGAGCUUUGCAGACCACAGUGAUUGGGUGCUCUUGGAAGUAUGGCUUCAGUUUCUUGGCGGCGAAGUGUACGCCGUAGCACAUCUUCUGGUAGUGGGGGUAGUUUUGCUUGGAGGUGGACAACACUUCACUAAGGUAAUACACCGGCCUCUGGACUGGUAGUGCUUUGCCCUAUUCCUUGCAUUCCACCAACAUGACUAUGCUGACCACCCGGCUGGUAGCGGCGAUGUAGAGGAGCAUGGGCUCCUUAGGAGUCGGAGCCGCUAGGACAGACGGAGUGGUCAAGAUCUUCUUGAGCUGGAUAAAAGCUUCAUCCGCCUUGUCGUUCCACUCGAAAAAAGUGGUCUUCUUCAUGAGCUGGUACAGGGAAGAGCCUUCUCGCCCAGCCAGCUGAUGAAACGGCUGAUGGAUGCCAAACAACCGGUGAAUUUUUGCACGUCCAGCAGUCGGGUGGGCACUUCCAUCCUCUCGAUGUCUUUGAUCUUCAUAGGGUUGCACUCUAUGCCGCGCUCUGAGACCAGAAAGCCAAGAAGCUGGCCGGCUGGCACUCCAAAGACGCAUUUCUCUAGGUUGAGCUUGAUUUAAAAUCGGCGCAAGUUCUCGAAGGUCUCCUUGAGGUCUUCUAGCAGCGUUCCACGCUUCUCCGUCUUCACCACUACAUCAUCCACGUAGACGUGGGCGUUUCUGCUGAGUUGCUUGAUGAGACACUUCUGCAUGCAGCGCUGAAAUGUGGCGCCGGCAUUCCUUAGGCCGAACGUCAUGGUCAGGUAACAGAAGGCUCCGAAUGGCGUGAUGAAGGCGGUCUUUAGCCUGUCGGCCGGGUUCAGCUUGAUCUGGUGGUACCCUGAGUACGCAUCCAAAAAACUCAAUAGCUCGCAUCCGGCUGUGGAGUCAAUCACUUGGUCAAUUCUUGGCAAAGCGAACGGGUCUUUGGGGCAUGCUUUGUUGAGGCUGGUGUAAUCAAUACACAUGCGCCACUGUUUGUUCUUCUUCAGCACCAGGACCUGGUUGGCUAGCCACUCUGGAAAGAAUACUUCCAUGAUGAAGCCGGCUGCUAGAAGCCGGGCUAUCUCUUCUCCAACAACUCUUCUCUUCUCCUCCGACAGGCGGCACAGGGGCUGUCGGACUGGUUUGGCGUCUGACCGGACAUGUAGCUUGUGCUCGGAGAAUUCUGUCGAAACACCCGGCAUGUCCUUGGGGGACCUUGCAAAAAUGUCCCGAUUCUCACGGAGGAAAUCGACGAGCUCGCCUUCCUAUUUGCUGUCAAGGUUCGCACCUAUGACAGCGUACUUCUCUCGGGUGCUCCGGGUCCAAGGGUAUCUUCUUUGUCUCUUUGGCCGGCUUGAACGAGCCCUCAGCUUCCGACUCCUUGGGGUUGGGUGACAUUUCCGGCUGCUUGCCUGCCAUCGCCACAACCUGAGCCGCUUCUCAGCCGCGAUCACGAGGGACUCGGCUAACCGGCUGCUCUCUGCUGCGUAGGCGGACGACUUCUUGUAGUCUCCUGCUAUGGUCAGGAUUCCCUUGGAGCUCGGCAUCUUCAUCUUGAGGUAGGCAUAGUGGGGGACCGCCAUGAACUUGGCCAGAGCAGGCCGACCAAGCAGUGCAUGAUAGGGGCUCUCAAGGUCCACCACCUCAAACCAGACUGGCUCUCGGCGGAAAUGAUUUUUGUCCCCGAAGAGAACAUCUAUUUGAGUUUUGCCGAUUGGUGAGCAGGAAAGGCCAGGAACUAUGCCAUGAAAAACAGUCUGGCUGGGCUGAAGAUGUCUCUGCUUGAUCCCCAACUUUUCCAUGGUAUCCUUGUACAGGAUGUUGAUGCUGCUGCCGCCAUCUAUCAGGACUCGGGAGAAACGAGCAGGUCGCCUCUCUGUGGCAAAUGUGGCAUCCAACACCAAGGCAUAAGAGCCGGGAUUUGGCAUCACUUCCGGGUGGUCAGCUCUGCUCCUGCUGAUGGGCUUCUCCGACCAGUGCAUGAACUCGGGGGUCUCCGAUGCUACUGCAUUCACUUUCAGCUGCUGGUGCCGUCUGCUACGCCUGUCGUCGGCUACGCUGGUGAACACGACGUAGGCCCCAUGUUCCUCGGGAUAGUCAUCUUGUAUGGCACCGACUGGCCGGGCUGCCGGCUGCUGAGGAGGAGGAGGCGGCGGGCCGGCUGGCGGAGGAGGCUGGAGUCCGUCGCCCUUGGCGAUCCCGGUGAGCCAGUGGCACUUCCGAGUAGUGUGAUUUGACGGCUUCGCACCUCUAUGGAACUUGCAAGGUGCAUCUAGAGUCUGCUCGUACGAGAAAGCGGGUAGCCAGUUGGGUUUGCCGCCCUUCUGGCGCUUGGGAGGAGGCGAUCCUUCUGGCUACUGAUCUUCAACUGUCGCCACCUGCCGGCUUUAGGAAGCUGGCUAUAUGGCCUUGCGCUUGUUGUCGUUUGGUUGCUGCCUCCGACUGGUGUCACCAGCCGGGGUCCGAGGAGCUUGAGGGGCCACCUUGCCCGACACGUUGACUUGAAUCUGCGCCUUCAUGGAUGAGUCGGCCGUGGCGUACUUGUCUGCUAUGAUUAGCAGUUCGUCGAGGGUCGCCGGCUCGUCGCAGAGAAGCUUGUGCUUGAGGAGGGUGCCCUCUCGGCACCCGGUAGUGAAAUACUCGAUGGCCUGCACCUCGUGCACACCCUCGCACGAAUUGCGCAACUCGGCCCAGUGCGUAAGAUAGUCGCGAGUCGACUCGUUGGGGCCUUGAAUGCAAAAGGAGAGUUGGCGAGGCUUGGGCGGCCGCUUGUACGUGCUGGUGAAGUUACGGACAAAUGCUUCAGUGAAAUCAACCCAGCUAUUGAUGCCGCGGGGCUUCAAACUGUUCAGCCAUGUCCGAGCCGUGCCCUGGAGCAUGAGCGGAACAUACUUCACGACAACGCGCUUGUUGCCGUUCGCGAUGCUGACGGCUGUGGAGUAGUCGACCAGCCAGUCCUCCGUCUUCAUGGAGCCGGUGUACUUGGGAGUAUCUCUCGGGAGCGUGAACCCUUUGGGGAAAGGUUCGUCCCGGAUGCGGGGGCCGAAGCAAGGCGGACCCAUCUCAUCUUCUUCUUCUAGCGCCAGGGAUCGGUUGAGGCGGUCGAUCCGGUGGCGGGCGUCGUUUUCUCCGAUUCCUUCUCGGCGCCCAAGGCGGUCGCCGAGUGACGGGUGAUCAACAGGCGGCGGGGAAACGCGCCUCUCCUUGUGGGGAGGAGGAGGAGGACAGUCGUCUCGUCGCUGUACUGCUCUUGGGCGGCCGUCUUGGUCGCGCUCGAUGGUGAUGCGAGUCUGGCUGCGGCUGGCAGCCGGCUCCUUGUCUCUUCUAUCGCGGACGCCACCAGUCGGCGUCCGGGAUGUCGCGCCUUGGUCUCGUCGAGGAGGCGGAUCGUCGUUUCGCCGGUUGGGCGCUUCGGUCCGGCAGCCGGCAUCUUGCUGCUCAGCAGCCGCGUCAAGGAGCUGCUGAACUCGCUCCGUCAUGUGGCGACGCUCGUUGCCCUUGAGCUUGUCUAAAUCGUCUGCUGCCACCUGGGCAGCUCGUAUGUUCUCCGCAGGCGUGGCAUAGACGGGACGAUCUGUCCCGAACAAGCUGGCGACGGUCGCGCCACGCUGCCGGAUUUGGCCAAUGCGGCUAGGCCCACCGGGAGCUGGCGUGCCACCGACAGCAUGGUCCAUCUCACGCUGGUAGGCCUCCGAAAGGCGUCUCAUGCUGGCCAGCCGGUUGGCACUCUGGACGAGAUGGACGCGGCGUGCCUCCAGCGUCUCGGCGUCAGCGUCUUCCGUGAUGUGCGCAGUCAGGUCUUGUAUCGCCGCCUGCAACGGAUCUUGACCACCUCCGCCUGAGUGCUUGCCGUGGCUAAUGGCGAGCACUUCCGUGACGGUGCUGCCGCAGCUGUCCGCGCGAGGAAGCGGCUCGUCGUAGACCACCACGUUGGAGGGGAACGCGUCGAGCGACGCCGUGUCGGAGUCGACCAACAUCGGGUCGGUGGAGCCAACCGACUCCAAGUCAACAGCAGGCUCGCUGGCGACGUGGAGCUGAUCGAGGAGGCUCACAAGGCGGCUCUCAGGGCCAUCGGUGCCCGCAUCAGAUGCGGGCUCGUCGGAGAGGCGAAUCCCGCCAACAAGAUCGGCGAGGCAGCUCGCCGCGCAGGAGGCCUCCAUGCCGCGUAGCACGUCGGUGCAUAUGCCGUUUGGCGUGCCGGGCUGGCUGCGCUCGCCAGGAAUGAACAAGGUUCCCGUCCAGAGCAGGUCUCCGGGAGACGGUGCACCUCGCCCCACGGUGGGCGCCAAAUGUCGGGGGUUGGGUGCGACAUAUGCCAAAGGAUGGCUUAUCAUGGUGGGAGUGAGUAGAACGUCGCCGGUGCCUGGAAGCGGGAUGAUGCGUAGACACGUACGCUGGCGGACUUUACCCAGGUUUGGGGCUCUCCGUGGAGAUAACACCCCCAGUCCUGCUCUGCGGGGUCCCCGGAUGGUCACUAAGGCACUAGUGGUACAAUGGUGCUCCUUGAGCUGUUUGCUAGAGGUGGAAGAAGGCAGGCACGCUCUUUCCUCCUCUAGGUGUGAGUCUAGUCCUAGCAGGUUCGAACCCUUUGCAUGGGCGCCUUGGGGGGUUUAUAUAGGCCUACCCCCAGGGGUACAAUAGUAAUCCAGCCGGGUGUAGGACCCGGUUGUCCGUCUCUCUGGUCGCCGGCUUCUCCGCCGGCUGCUGGGGCCCGCCGCCUGGUGGGCCCCGCCGACUGGUCUGGUACGGAGCCGACAGGCCGCCCCCGCCGCUCACGGGUCUUGUCGGCUGCUGAUCACUGUAGCCGUGAUGCUAAUGACGCAGGCUUGGUCAGGAGAGCGUGGCCACAGUCCUGCCGCUUGGCGGGCGAUUGCUGUAGCCACUCUGCGUCUCGUCUGGUUAUUGGCGCGUGGGCCCCGAGGAAGGGGCGGACCGACUGCUGGGGGCUGACCUCCCUCGGGUCCGGCUGGUGGGGCUCUAGCCGUCUUCCGGGCUCUCGCUGAUCGGUAGGGCCCGUCGUCCUUGGGCCGCACUGACAGGCGGUCGUGGGAGCAGGGCUUUGCCUGACAGGGGUGAUGUCAGGGGCGGAGUGGCAACGGUGCCGCGCCGGGCGGGGAUCUCCGCCUGUACGGAGCACUGUGGCCUCGCCCGACCCUGGAUACGGGGAUGAUGGGCUACACUGUAGCCUCACCCUGUCUUGUCUCCUUAAUGGGGGCGCAGACUCUGAGGGCACCGUGGGCCGACUGCCAGGAAUCGGCCUCUCUGGAGGCCGCCUGCCAGGAGUUGGUCCGUCUCGGGGCCGUCUUCUUAAGCGCGGCCGUCUUCUAGCAGUCGGCCGUUCGGCCAGCCGGUCACCAGAAGGCGGCGCUUCAUCUUGACGUCUUGAGGGGCGCAGCCAGCCCCGAUGCCUUGAAAGGUUUUGGGGCUCGGGUUAGGCUACCCAUGGCCCAUUACUCCGACAGUCAUUGUCAAUGAAGGCAAGAUCAAUCCAGCAAGUGCUUUGAGAAUCAGGGUUUCUGUGGAUGUGAGUACACCUCUUGUUAGGUUUGCACCGAUAACCCUCAGGGAGAUGAAGAGAUAUCCUGUCUUCUAUGAUAGGCUGCCGGACUUCUGCUAUUUUUGUGGUUUGAUGGGACACACAAUGGAGGAAUGCGGGGACGGAAUCCAUGAUCCUUGUACCUGCGACUGGGGAGAGUGGCUUCUGUGGGGAUCGGAGCAGCCAACAUAUGUGGCAGGAGGAAGGGCGAACAUGGAGGGACGUGGUAGAGGAGGUAGGUAUGGAGGAAGAGGAGGUAGAGGUGGUAAACAAGGGAGGGGAGGCCGUGAAGGAGAAAGAAGAGAGGGGGAGGAGAAUGACUGGCAAUUUACUAAUGUGGACUAUUCCCAACAAGAUACGAGAGCAACCGAUAACAUGAACAUGCGCAAAAGGCUGGUCUCAGCUGAUGGGUCAGUCAAUAUUCGAGGCUAAGUGGUUCCAAACCUAGAAGGAAGGGUUGCUGGAAUAGUUCUAAUGUUGGAAAACAAUGGAGAUGAUACUGCAACGGGGGUAAAUAAUACUCCGGUGAAAGUCCCUAUAGUGAAGAGAAGAAGGCAGGAUGGUGUGUUGCAUGGUGAUGAAAUGGACAUAACUGAUCAGGCGGCCUCCUCCGGGGAGGGCCGCCGAGCCCAAUGAGAACUCUAUGCUGGAACUGUCGCGGGAUUGGCGACCCUACGACGGUCAGAGAGCUCCGCGAUUUAGUGGAGGCAUGUGCGCCGAUGGUGCUUUGCAUUGUGGAGACGCAGUUAGCGAAGUAUAGGGUGGAAGGUUUGGCGGGUAGUUUAGGAUUUACAGGUCGUUUUGGAGUAGAUAGUGCGGGCAGAAGUGGAGGCUUGUGUAUGUUUUGGAAGAAUAAUGUUGAUCUUGAAAUAAAAUCCUACUCACAAUACCAUAUUGAUUCCGUAGUGAAGGAGCCGGGCAAGGACCCAUGGCGUUUGUCAUGUUUCUAUGGUGCAGCUAACAGGAGCUUGAGGUACAAGACGUGGGACACAAUGAAGCUCUUACGAGGAGAGAGUACCCUGCCAUGGCUGUGCAUCGGGGACUUUAAUGAGAUACUCUGACAAGAGGAGCAGAUGGGCCCUAAUGAGAGAGAUAGUGCACAAAUGGAAGGUUUCAAAGAAGCGGUCGAUGUAUGCGAACUAGCUGGUCUCGGAUACAAAGCGUUGGACUAGACCGUUGAGAAGAGAGUGGUGGGAUGCGAAUUUUGCAGAGUUCGGCUUGACCCAGCUUUGGCGAGUGCCAACUGGUCAGCUAUGUUUCCCUUUGCUUCAGUGGAACAUCUCACAACAGCAAAAUCAGAUCACAUCCCAAUUUUACUGUUAAAUGAACUGGAAGCGAACAAUUUGAGGAUUGCACUGAGGAAGCCCUUCCGUUAUGAAUGUUGUUGGGAGACGGAUGAUCGGUUUGGGGCUACGCUGAAACGUGAGUGGGAGCAGAACCAACCAGCUACCAAUAUAACAGAGUUAGCUGCCAAGUUGUCAUCGGUCGGAGCGUCACUUAAACAUUGGAGCCGAGCAAUGUUUGGGUCAGUACGGGAAGAGUUGAGAAAGCUGCGUCAUCAGCUAGCAGUUUUGCGAGCCGACCCGACUCGUGUUGGGCCGGGCGAGGAGGAAAAGAGGGUCAAGGACAAGAUUGUCGAGAUAUCAUACCGAGAGGAGAUAAUGAUGAGACAACGGUCGCGCAUCGACUGGCUGUGUGCAGGUGACAGCAAUACUCAGUAUUUCCAAAAGAAGGCAAGUGCUAGAAGGGCAAGAAACAAUAUCUCUCAGCUUGAGAGGCCGGAUGGGACAGUUACUUCAGACGCUGAAGAGAUGGCAGGAAUGACUAACCAGUUCUAUGAGAAUUUGUACAUGUCUGAAGGCUGUAUUGGGAUGGAGGAGGUUUUGUCCCACAUCCCUGUCAUAGUGGAUGGAAAUAUGAAUGCGAAGCUUAAUGCACCAUACACAAAAGAGGAGGUCAAGGUUGCUCUCUUUCAAAUGUUCCCAACAAAAGCACCGGGUCCCGAUGGUUUUCCUGCACACUUUUUUCAAAGACAUUGGGACCUAUGUGGUGAAGAGGUUACUGGCAUGAUUAUCAGAUUGCUUGAUGGAGAGGACUCGCCGGAGGAUAUCAACCGCAUGUCCAUUGUUCUUAUUCCCAAGAUCGCUAGUCCAUUAGAGGACAGUUUCGGUCUAUAAGUCUUUGCAACGUGAUCUAUAAGAUUGCGUCAAAGGUCUUAGCUAAUAGGUUGAAGAUCAUCCCCCCUGAGGUAAUUUCUGAGGAGCAGUCGGCCUUUGUGCCUGGACGCCUAAUCACGGAUAAUUUUUUGACAGCUUACGAGUGCUUGCAUUAUAUGAAAACGAGGAGAGUAAAGAAUAAUCGUUUCGUUGCCCUGAAUUUAGACAUGAUGAAAGCGUAUGAUCGCUUGGAAUGGCCUUAUCUGAAGGCCGUUAUGUUGAGAGUGAGUAUUAGCCCACGGUUCACAGAGACUAUUAUGAGAUGUGUUUCGUUAGUCACAUUUUCAGUUCUGUUUAACGGUGGCAGUUUGCAUGAUUUCAGGCCAUCAAGGGGCAUGAGGCAAGGGGAUCCUAUCUCCCCGUACUUAUUUUUACUUGAAGCUGAGGGUCUCUCAUGUCUACUAAAACAUCAUGGCGGCGGUAUACGGGGUUUAGCUGUGGCAGAAACAGCCCCGCAAGUUAAUCACUUGCUCUUUGCAGAUGACAGUCUUUUGUUCUUUGAAGCUAACAUGGAGAAUGCAACUCGAGUCCAGAACAUUUUGAGGAUGUAUUGUGAUGCGUCGGGCCAGCGUGUCAACACAGAGAAAUCCUCUAUAUAUUUCAGCAAGGGUGUGCUAGAGGCUACACAGAAUGAGAUAAAGAAUGCAUUGGAUGUUCAAAAAGAAUCCUUAUCAGAGAAAUACUUAGGCCUACCCACGGAUCUAGGGAAGAACAAGGAAGGAAGUUUCAGAUAUUUGAAGGACAUGAUUUGGAAACAUAUUCAAGGAUGGAUGGAGAAAUGUUUAUCAGCAGGGGGGAAAGAAGUCUUGAUCAAAUCGGUUGCACAAUCCAUCCGGACAUAUUCUAUGUCAUGCUUCAAACUUUGCCGCGGCCUAACUGAACAUAUAAACAGCCUUAUUCGAAAGUUUUGGUGGGGGAGUAAGCGAGGCCAAAGAAAACUGGCUUGGGUUUCUUGGAAGACUAUGUGUAAACCAAAGCAUAUGGGAGGCAUUGGAUUCAGGGAUAUAGAGCUCUUCAACCUUGCUUUACUUGCUCGUCAAGUCUGGCGAUUACUUCAAGACCCGGAGUCCUUGAGUGCACGUGUUCUUUGUGCUUGAUACUACCCUCAGAGCAACAUACUGGUUGCAAGCCUUGGCGCUCGGCCUUCCCAGGUUUGGCACUCAUUGAUGGAGGGAAGAGAUGUGCUUGCUUUGGGCCUGAUAAAGAGAAUUGGAUCGGGGGCUGAAACACGCAUUUGGGAAGACAACUGGCUGCCGCGAGAUUUCAAGUUGAGAUCUAUAUGUCCUAUUUCUCCCGCUCCGCCGCAGUUAGUGUCAUAACUCAUUGAUGCAACGUCCAGAUCAUGGAACAAACAAGUGCUGACCGAGAACGUUGUUCAGCCGGAUGUUGAUGUUAUUCUGAACAUUCCUUUAAGCUCUCGUGUACAGCCUGAUUUUUGGGCAUGGCACUACGACCGUCGGGGAAUCUUCACAGUCAAAUCAGCAUAUAGGAUGAUAAGAGGAAUUAAAUACCAAUGAGAGGACUGGCUAGAGCAUAGGCCGAGCCACUCGAACACUGAAGCUAAAAGCAGAUCAUGGUCUCAAUUGUGGAAAGUUAAAGUUCCAUCAAAGGUCAAGGUUUUUGUUUGGAGAUUAGCAGAAAUGUCCUGGAUCUGUCCACCAUGAACGCAAGAUGGCCACAUCCCCUGACUGUGGUUUAUGCAAGGAGGAAUAUGACUCAUGGCGGCAUUCCUUGUUUGAGUGCAGGAUGGCACGGUGCGUGUGGGCGCUAGGUGAUGAGGAAACACUGGAACAUCUGAUUUCCAACAGAAGUGAUGAUGCAAGGCUAUGGCUAUUCUGGCUGUUUGAAUCAUUGAAUCAGCAAGAUCUCGCUAGAGUUCUAAUCACCAUGUGGGCAAUAUGGUGGGCACGGAGAAGGGCGAUCCUUGAUAAUGAAUUCCAGAGCCCAUUAUCUACCAUGUGCUUCGUUAACAGGUACUUGCAGGACCUUGAAAUAGCAUCGAAGCAUAAUUCCAUAUUGCAUACCAGCGAGGCAAAGCCAAGAGGCCGGAAGUGGAUUCCACCUGGUGAAGAUGCGGCGAAGAUGAAUGUGGAUGGCCCUAUCUCCAGGUCAGGGAAGACGGGAGCAUGCGCGGUUAUAUGCAGGGACAAAGAAGGAAGCUACAUUGGCGCAUCCGCGGUGGUGUUUGAAGGUUUAGUGGACGCUGCAAGUCUGGAGGCCCAAGCAUGCAAUGAGGCACUAGCACUUGCUCAAGAUCUUCUUCUAUCACAUGUGAUCAUAGCGUCGGACUGCCUGCAAGUCGUCUCAGUCAUCAAUGGUGCUGCGCAAUCAUCUUCUUAUGCCUGUGUAAUUGAAGAGAUUAAAGUUAGAACUUUAGAUUUUGUUAAAGUUAGUUUUCGGUUUGAAAAUAGGGAGGCGAACUGUGAGGCUCAUGCCUUGGCAAAAGCAGCCUCGACACUCCCUAUUGGUCGACAUGUGUGGCUAGGGAACACACCAGACAUCAUUUGUAUCCCGUCAGUUUUGAUCGUUGAAUAAAACCCUAGUUACACCUAAAAAAAGGUAAAAUAAUAAUAAUUUAUCUAUAUAUUUCUUUUUUCUCAAAAAAUAUCUAUAUAUUUCUUGAAAAGGCUUCCCUAAAAGAUCUAGGACAACGCUAACGCCCACACGUGUGGUGGGAGCGAAACCCGCCCACACGUCCUAUAACACACAGACUGCGCCACGUAACCGCAUGCAUGCAUGUGAAGAUCUUUUUGGAUUUUUAGUUUUUAAAAUGUUUUAUCUCUUAAAUGAAAAAUCCGAUUGAAGAUCCGUUUUCACCAUUAAAUUCCUCACGACGAGAUCUUCAAAACUAGAUCUCAAAUCAAUAUAUUUCGACGAAUUUUUUUUGGGGUUAAAAGUUGCCAUGUCUAUUGCACAUGAAUUGCCAUGGUGUUUACACUAAAGUUGCCAUGAUAUGUUUAAGCUAUUUUCUUCUACAUUUAAAAGUAAAUUUUGACAUUUAUAAAAUGGGGACUUAAGAAACUAGACUUGUCAUGAACCAUAAACUAAAAUUGCCAUGAUACAUGCACUUAAAAUUGCCAUGGUUCAUACAAAAAAUAAUUUUCAUGGUCAAAGUACUGAAGCUGCCAUCAUUAAAAUAGUAAAAUUGACAUGCUCUACAAACUGAAGUUGCCACAUGGCAACUUUAGUUUAAGCACUAUGGCAACUACAGUGUAAACAUCAUGGAACUUUUAGGAAUUAUUUUUUUUGUCGAAACAUAUCAACAUUGGGUCUUAUUUUGAAGAUCUCGUCGAGUCGGAUUUAAUGGUCAAAACGGAUUUUUAAUUUGAUUUUUUAAUUAGGAGAUAAAAAAUUUUGAAGCCGAAAAACAAAAAAGAUUCCUGCUGAUGUCAUUUAUUCACAUGUGGCAAAAUGAGUGGUAAAGGAGGCGUGUGGGCGAUGCGCAUGAUGCCACACGUGUGGGCGUUAGUUUUUUCCAAGAUCUAAAAAAGGGUAAAAACAUGUAAUGUCAUUCAAAAAGAAAGGCACAUUUUGCAAGCUCUUUAUGUUUCUCAGAUAAUAAUUCCAUGACAAAAGAAUGCUCGCCAAACACAACACAAUGUACCACUAACUCUUGCGCAAAAGAAUGGAAUGAAUGUCGAAUCCACACACACGAAUGACACAGAUCUCAGCUCAGCUUCCAAAGAAUUCCCCCCGAAUCAGCAUUUCCUUAGCACUUCUUGGCGAGGGCGCUCUUGGCCUUGUGCCAGAAGAGCACCCGCUUCCUCCCGCGGGUCGUGUUCUCCACCGUGAUCACCACCUUGACGGCCUCCGCCGCGCGGAACAAGUUGCGCACCGCCUCCUCGCCGGCGCCCACCUUCCGGCCCUUGCUCACCACGAUGGUGUACGCGCCCUCGUCGGCGGGCAGGAACUCCUUCGUGUACCUCGCAUCCCACCCUGGCACCGCCAGGUCCCACAUCAGCAUCGUGUCACCCUGAAUCGUUUGUGUCACACAACCAAAUUCAGUCAGCCAGUCACCUAUGUUCUUAGUCACCAAACAAUUUCAAUGCAUCUUAUUUUCAACAAAGUCUAAGUAAAGGCUUCACAUACUUAAUUAUCAUAUAAUCUUCUAUGAUUGCUAAUACUCAAAGCAUAUUUUUAGAACAAAUAGCAUCCAUCGAACACAGAGAAAGAUAUGGCUUUAAUGUUUCGCCUCCCAACUUAUUUAUCAUAGUGAUAAUUGUCAACAAUAAUAAAUCAUGAUCAAAUAUAUUUGAAUGGCCAUAUAUGCGUGGAUCUUUCCCCACCACAUGAUGCUUGCUAACUAAAGAAUAUGUUGGAAUAAGAAGAAAUACUAUUCACUCUUGCAUGAAAGUAAAAACUAAAAAGUAAAAGAUAGGCCCUUCGUGGAGGGAAGUAUGGAUUUGCAGAGGUGCCAAAGCUCGAUGCUUAAAACAGAGAUGAAUACAUUUUGAGAGGCAUGCAUUUCCUGUCAAUGUCACGACCAAGAGUUCUCGAUAUCUGCCAUGCUAAACACAUUAUAAGCGGUCCCAAGUGGAAAGGUAAAGUUUACUCCCUCUCAACCAUUCAAACACAAGCCAUGGCUAGUCGAAUCAUCGGGUGCCCUCCAUACAAUCAACUUUCCGGGGGACUUUGUUUCAUUAUUUUGCGUUUUGAUCAUGAGACUAGGCAUCCCAAUUACCAGCCUCUCUCGUGCAAUGAAAAGUGAAUAAACACCCAUCAUGAGAAUAACCCGCUUAGCAUGGAAGAUACUGACCACCCCCUGCCGCUCCAUGAGCGGUACGAGCAGACAAAACAAAUGCUUAUUUGAUUGAUUGGAGGUGGCACAUGCAAAUUUACUUGGAACGGCAGAGUAAUACCGUAUAUAGGUAGGUAUGGUGGACACUCAUGGAAGAAACUUUGCUCAAGGAUUUUGGAUGCACAAGCAGUAUUCCCGCUUAGUAUAAAUUUUUUGGCUAGCAAAAGAUUCUAAACAAGCACCACAUGUUGGAGGAUCCGUAACAAUAUAACUUCUAUACAAAUAUACUCAACCAUAACUCAUUAUGUUGUCUUCCUUGUCCAACUUUAACUAAUUUUCUCAAGUGAAAAUAAUUAAUGGGUGUUCGCAAUCAUUAAAGAUGUCCAAGAUAAUAUAUUUGUAUGUGAAAGUUCUCUUUCAUAUACUAUCUUUCAUGAAUUGUUUGUAUGACCAAUAUUGUGAUUGUCAAACUUCAAUAGAUUUUACUUUCUAAACCAAAUGUGAAAUAUUUCAAAGCAUGGUACACGCGUAUGAAGCACAUAUAAUUUCAACUUUAUGAUAUUCAAUUCAUUCAAAAAUUUACUCAUAGGAUAUAAGUGAAGCACAAGAGUAAAUGACAAACUACUCAAAAGGAUAUAUGUAAAGCACAAAGAGUAGUUAAAUAAUUGAGUAUCUAUGUGAGGACUCUCUCAUUUAAAAAUUCUAGAUCUUAUGUAGUUUAUUCAAAUAACAAAAAAAACA
RNAcentral lists this long non-coding RNA (25433 nucleotides) under Triticum aestivum (bread wheat). RNAcentral's name for it is "long non-coding RNA (TAES_LNC018437)". Lineage: Eukaryota; Viridiplantae; Streptophyta; Magnoliopsida; Poales; Poaceae. The record is from RNAcentral.